This 253-nucleotide ribosomal RNA is filed under the name uncultured bacterium. RNAcentral describes it as "partial 16S ribosomal RNA". It matches the Rfam family "Bacterial small subunit ribosomal RNA", at positions 524 to 776 of the family's 1533-position model. The record is from RNAcentral.
UACGUAGGGAGCUAGCGUUGUUCGGAAUCACUGGGCGUAAAGCGCACGUAGGCGGCUAUUCAAGUCGGGGGUGAAAGCCCGGGGCUCAACCCCGGAACUGCCCUCGAAACUAGAUAGCUAGAAUCUUGGAGAGGUCAGUGGAAUUCCGAGUGUAGAGGUGAAAUUCGUAGAUAUUCGGAAGAACACCAGUGGCGAAGGCGACUGACUGGACAAGUAUUGACGCUGAGGUGCGAAAGCGUGGGGAGCAAACAGG